Long non-coding RNA from Ailuropoda melanoleuca (giant panda), 493 nucleotides. RefSeq lists it as uncharacterized. The transcript is spliced from 3 exons. The record is from RefSeq and is a predicted model, not a curated record. NCBI's taxonomy places the organism in Eukaryota, Metazoa, Chordata, Mammalia, Carnivora, Ursidae.
AGCUGUGUGACCUUGUUCAAGUUACCCGGCCUGUCAGCGCAACAGUGUUCCCGUCUUGUAAAACGGGCACAAUGUCAAGUUGAGAUAAUUCACGGAAGAUAAUUCAUUGAACACAAUACCUGGUUAGUGUGGCUGCUUCUGGAACGCCCCUGUUGCAGAUCGACUGCGGGAGAGACCAAUGAGAGCACAGGCCGGAAGAGGAGCAGCACGCGGCGAUGGAAGACCCACAGAGAAUGGGACAAUGCUAUGUCGCCCCUGUGCCCCCUCCGGAACACCCCACGAAUAUGGCUCAGAAGCCAGUUUAACUGCUUGAACGUUAUUGAUGACUGGGGUCGUGGGACAGCCAGGAUCUCACGAUGUCGUCUUGGAUCACACUCUCCAGCACGACAGUAGGUUCCUCCUAGGGAAACGACGCUUUCCCUUCCUCUUGGAGAUAAUACGCAUUCCGACCAAAUGUACAUCUGGGUAGUUAGAAUAAAGAUUUUAUUUUCUA